This 468-nucleotide ribosomal RNA is filed under the name uncultured bacterium. RNAcentral describes it as "partial 16S ribosomal RNA". It matches the Rfam family "Bacterial small subunit ribosomal RNA", at positions 28 to 507 of the family's 1533-position model. The record is from RNAcentral.
GACGAACGCUGGCGGCGUGCUUAACACAUGCAAGUCGAACGGAAAGGCCCUGCUUUUGUGGGGUGCUCGUGUGGCGAACGGGUGAGUAACACGUGAGUAACCUGCCCUUGACUUUGGGAUAACUUCAGGAAACUGGGGCUAAUACCGGAUAGGUGCUCCUGCUGCAUGGUGGGGGUUGGAAAGUUUCGGCGGUUGGGGAUGGACUCUCGGGUAAUCAGCUUGUUGGUGGGGUAGUGGCUUACCAAGGCUUUGACGGGUAGCCGGCCUGAGAGGGUGACCGGCCACAAUGGGACUGCGAUACGGCGCAGACGGCUACGGGAGGCAGCGGGGGAGAGUAUUGCGCAGCGGGGGGAAGCCUGUGGCAGCAACGCCGGGUUCGUGAUGACGUGCUUUGAGUUGUGAACCGCUGUGGCAUGAGACGAAGCGUGAGUGACGGUAAUGGGUAAGGAAGCAACGGCUAACUACGUG